Molecule: long non-coding RNA, 256 nt
Filed under: Lathyrus oleraceus (garden pea)
Lineage: Eukaryota; Viridiplantae; Streptophyta; Magnoliopsida; Fabales; Fabaceae
Description: Pisum sativum (pea) long non-coding RNA (PSAT_LNC035006)
Source: RNAcentral
AUUGCUUUUCUCGUUUUUUCUUUAACAUUUUUUCUUUGCUGUUUUUAGAUAGUUUAUUUAUUGUUAUUUCCUUUUAGUUGUUUAUUUUGCUUUUUAGUAUAAUGCAUGAGUCUGACGAGUCACCAAAUAUAGUAGAUCUUUAGUACAAUCCUAUGUUUUUAGAUAGUUUAUUUAUUGUUAUUUCCUUUUAGUUGUUUAUUUUGCUUUUUAGUAUAAUGCAUGAGUCUGACGAGUCACCAAAUAUAGUAGAUCUUUA